AUCAUUAUCGUGGGGCUCCGGCCCUGUCGAGAUAGAACCCUUGCCUUUUGAGUACCGUCCGUUUCCUCGGCAGGCCCGCCUGCCAAUGGGGACCCCAAUAAACCCUUUUAUGUACCUGUAUCAGUCUGAAAAACAAACAAAAGUUAAAACUUUCAACAACGGAUCUCUUGGUUCUGGCAUCGAUGAAGAACGCAGCGAAAUGCGAUAAGUAGUGUGAAUUGCAGAAUUCAGUGAAUCAUCGAAUCUUUGAACGCACAUUGCGCCCUUUGGUAUUCCUUAGGGCAUGCCUGUUCGAGCGUCAUUUGGAAACUCAAGCUCAGCUUGGUGUUGGGUGUCUGUCUCCGCCCCGCGGGGACUCGCCUCAAAAGCAUUGGCGGCCGGUACGUUGGCUUCGAGCGCAGCAGAAACGCGAACUCGGGGCUGGCGGAUCGGCGACCAGAAGAAUCUUCUUUACAGCUUGACCUCGGAUCAGGUAGGGAUACCCGC
Molecule: ribosomal RNA, 486 nt
Filed under: Pezizomycotina sp. BC11
Lineage: Eukaryota; Fungi; Ascomycota
Description: eukaryotic LSU rRNA
Rfam family: 5.8S ribosomal RNA (bases 148-301)
Source: RNAcentral